This 810-nucleotide ribosomal RNA is filed under the name uncultured bacterium. RNAcentral's name for it is "bacterial SSU rRNA". It matches the Rfam family "Bacterial small subunit ribosomal RNA", at positions 664 to 1501 of the family's 1533-position model. The record is from RNAcentral.
GAACUUGCGGUGGAGCGGUGAAAUGCGUUGAGAUCGCAAGGAACACCAAUGGCGUAGGCAGGCUACUGGGUGAACCCUGACGCUGAUGCACGAAAGCUAGGGGAGCGAAGCGGAUUAGAGACCCGCGUAGUCCUAGCCGUAAACGAUGGACACUAGAUGAUCGCCUUUAAGGUGAUUGUCGCAAGCUAACGCGUUAAGUGUCCCGCCUGGGGAGUACGGCCGCAAGGCUAAAACUCAAAGGAAUUGACGGGGACCCGCACAAGCGGUGGAGCAUGUGGUUUAAUUCGACACAAAGCGAAAAACCUUACCAGGACUUGACAUGCUAGUUGCACACUUAUCGAAAGAUAGGUUUCCUUCGAGGGUACUAGCACAGGUGCUGCAUGGCUGUCGUCAGCUUGUACCGUGAGGCGCACCCUUAAGUGGGUUAACAAGCGCAACCCCCAUCCUAUGUUACAUAUCAUAGGAAACCGCCCGCUAAAAGCGAGGAGGAAGGAGGGGAUGACGUCAAGUCAGCACGGCCCUUAUGUUCUGGGCUACACACAUUCUACAAUGGAUGUUUAACAACGAGCAGCAACUCGGUAACGGGAAGCAAAUCUUGAAAAGCAUCCUCAGUUCGGAUUGAGGGCUGAAAUUUGCCCUCAUGAAGUUGAAAUCGCUAGUAAUCGCGGAUCAGCAGGCCGCGGUGAAUACGUUCUCGGGUCUUGUACACACCGCCCGUCAAGCCAACAAAGUCGGAGGUGCCUGAAGUCUCAACAUAAGUUGGGCCCAAGGCAAAAUCGGCGAUGGGGACUAAGUCGUAACAAGGUAACC